Molecule: ribosomal RNA, 367 nt
Filed under: uncultured organism
Description: bacterial SSU rRNA
Rfam family: Bacterial small subunit ribosomal RNA
Source: RNAcentral
GGAGGGUGCAAGCGUUAUCCGGAUUCACUGGGUUUAAAGGGUGCGUAGGUGGGUAAGUAGGUCAGUGGUGAAAUCUCCGGGCUUAACCCGGAAACUGCCAUUGAUACUAUUUGUCUUGAAUACUGUGGAGGUCAGCGGAAUAUGUCAUGUAGCGGUGAAAUGCUUAGAUAUGACAUAGAACACCAAUUGCGAAGGCAGCUGGCUACACAAAUAUUGACACUGAGGCACGAAAGCGUGGGGAUCAAACAGGAUUAGAUACCCUGGUAGUCCACGCCCUAAACUAUGGAUACUCGACAUUUGCGAUAAACUGCAAGUGUCUGAGCGAAAGCAUUAAGUAUCCCACCUGGGAAGUACGAUCGCAAGAUUG